AUGGACGCCUUCUACUCGACCUCAUCGGCAGCGGCGGCGGACGAUUGGUGUUACGACUCACACAACAAGUUCCGCGAGAUCUCCCCCGCCGUGCGAUCGCACCUCAAGCUCGUUUACCGGACCGUAUGUUUUGCCCUGGUCUCGUCCGCUGUGGGUGCUUACCUGCACGUUGCCCUCAACAUCGGCGGGAUGCUGACAAUGCUCGCGUGCAUGGGAAACAUUGUCUUGUUUUCAUUGACGCCAGUCUAUGAGGAGAGGAAGAGGUUUGUGCUGCUGAUGGCUGCUGCCAUCCUGCAAGGGGCAACGAUUUGCCCUCUGAUUCACCUUCCCAUGGACUUUGACCCAAGGGCUGCCAUAAUAUGGGUGUUGCUCUGCGCAACCAGCAUCCUUGCAACAGGGUUUGUUGGAAUUGCCAUCGCAUUAGGGUGCUUCUCUUGCGUCACCAACAUUGCCAAGCGCAGUGUCACCAGCAUUGCCAAGCGUAGUGAGUACAUGUACCUCCUUGUUCUGCUCUCUUCUGACAUGUCGAUCCUGCUCUGGCUCCAGUUGGCCACAUCCAUCUUUGUCCUCUUGACCGGCAGCUUCAUGGUUGAGGUCUACUCUGGCAUCUUGAUCUUCGUGGGAUACAUGGUGUACGACAUGCAUCAGAUCGUUGAGAGGGCACACCGCGGUGACAUGGACUACAUCGGACACGCGCUCACCCUCUUCACCGACAUCACCGCCGUCCUAGACCGGAUCUUUAUCAUAAUGGUGAGGGUGGUGAUAUGUUCCGCUCCAGCUCAAGAACGCAGGAGACAAGUCCGAGGACAAGAAGAAGAAGAGGAGCAUGUUGCAGCCCAACAAUGCAUGUAUGUCGGCAAGGAGUUGUGA
RNAcentral lists this ribosomal RNA (870 nucleotides) under Triticum aestivum (bread wheat). RNAcentral describes it as "partial small subunit ribosomal RNA". Lineage: Eukaryota; Viridiplantae; Streptophyta; Magnoliopsida; Poales; Poaceae. The record is from RNAcentral.